GAAUGAAGAACGCAGCGAACUGCGAUAAGUAAUGUGAAUUGCAGAAUUCAGUGAAUCAUCGAGUCUUUGAACGCACAUUGCGCCCCCUGGCAUUCCGGGGGGCAUGCCUGUCCGAGCGUCAUUGCUGCCCUUCAAGCCCGGCUUGUGUGUUGGGUCGUCGUCCCCCCCGGGGGACGGGCCCGAAAGGCAGCGGCGGCACCGCGUCCGGUCCUCGAGCGUAUGGGGCUUUGUCACCCGCUCGAUUAGGGCCGGCCGGGCGCCAGCCGGCGUCUCCAACCUUCUAUUUUACCAGGUUGACCUCGGAUCAGGUAGGGAUACCCGCUGAACUUAAGCAUAUCAAUAAGCGGAGGA
Molecule: unclassified non-coding RNA, 351 nt
Filed under: soil metagenome
Description: partial contains 5.8S ribosomal RNA, internal transcribed spacer 2, and large subunit ribosomal RNA
Rfam family: 5.8S ribosomal RNA (bases 3-121)
Source: RNAcentral